Non-coding RNA from Camellia sinensis, 1030 nucleotides. Lineage: Eukaryota; Viridiplantae; Streptophyta; Magnoliopsida; Ericales; Theaceae. The record is from RefSeq and is a predicted model, not a curated record.
UGAGAGAGAGAGAGAGAGAGAGAGAGAGACAUCGAGGGCUGGUUCUUUGAUUUCCAUCGAUUUUUGGUGAUUUUGAUCUAGAAAAUCUUGUUCUCCCUCCUGACCUGAGCGUAUAUCUUCGAGAUUGUUCGAAUCCUUCUGAUCUAAAUCGAUCUAGGGCUCAAGACUACAUUUGAUGCACCUGGGGGUACUGACCCCGUUGUAUUAAGCCUUGGUUCCAUGGGGAAAGGUGAAGCUUGGGUUAAUGGCCAAAGUAUAGGUCGAUAUUGGAUCUCAUUUCUUACCCCUGCAGGGACUCCUACACAGAUAUGGUUAUGAGACAUUUGUGUGAGCUUAAGUAUAACAGUUUCCUCUGCAAAUCCACUUCUUCAAGAUCAAGCAUGAAAAGUCUUCACCAAUUAUGGCCCAAGGCCUGGAUUUUUUCCAGAUGAUAAAUAUCAAAAGAAAGGUGUAGAUUUUGCCAUAUCUAGGCUGUUUUUGAACUUCUGACCAAUGAUUUGACUUGAUGCUAUCUCUUUAUGUACUAACUUGUAUCUCUGUGUCUUCGAACAUUACUUUGUUGAAUAUGCAGGCUGCGAAAUCUGAUUCCAAUUCUAGUAAGUCCUUUUAAACCUUCCUUGUGGUUGGCUGCAAUUUCUUAGCACGAUACUUAUAGAACUCGUCUUUCAGAACACAAGAUGCCCGAUGGGAACUGGAAGUGUGAGAAAUGCAAUAACAUAAACUACCCUUUUAGGACCAAAUGUAACAGACAAAACUAUGGGGCCGAUAAACCAUCUGAGGGACAGAAAUCCCCUUCAGAACCAGCAGAUGAAAACGAUCAGUGAGUUCUAUAGGAAAUGUUUGUGGGUUGAGAAAGGUCCAGAGUCGGCGUCGUCCAGCUAUGCUCAUUAUGGGUGUCUGAAAGUCAGUCAUGUCGUCGUAUUGCCACACUUGUCAAGUUUAUUCUUCCUUCUCAUGAUUUGUGUCGAGGUGUAUUAAUAAACUGGGAUUUGGUAUUUUUGGUUUAGUAUGGAUCUUUAUUCAUAUUAUG